Capra hircus (goat) is the source of this 943-nucleotide long non-coding RNA. RefSeq lists it as uncharacterized. NCBI's taxonomy places the organism in Eukaryota, Metazoa, Chordata, Mammalia, Artiodactyla, Bovidae. The record is from RefSeq and is a predicted model, not a curated record. The transcript is spliced from 4 exons.
GCCUGCACAACAGAGGAAACUGGCCCCCAGGGUCCACCUCAGGACGUGGUCCCUCUGGCAGCUCUGUCUCCCAGGCCUCCCUACGUGAUGCCAGGCCACCAGCUCCCAUCUACCAGGAAUUACUACGCCCCGACACAGACGUUUACUGUCAUAUCAGCCACAAAGCAGGUGUGGGUCCUUAGUUCCUCCAGACAUGUCUCCUUAACAGACUGUGGGAAAGAGCUUACCUGAGACCCAAGACCCGAGUGAGGUCAAGAGGAAGAGCCUGAGGCAGAGAACCAGCUCUGACACCUGAGGCUAUUCAGGAACCUGGGCCCAGGCUCAGGGUCCUCGUGGAUUCCUGGAGGCCCUGACAGGCUGCCCUGAACUCUAGAUGAACCAGAACUCAGGCUGCGAUUCCCACAGUUGGGGGAUGUUUCAACAGGGCAAGUGACUGGGCCCGUGACCCACUGCGGACCACCAGAGAGAUCUGAAUAAAAAGCACUUUCCUUCCCCUGGUUGCAAAAUAUACUGCCCUUGGGUCCUGUCCAGCAAGAAAUUCACCUGAAUCUCUGCUCCGGUCUCUCCAUGGUUCCUCAGGGAACGCAUUAGCUCUAGUUACCUGACCUCCCCAUCUAUUUCCUGGGGGAAAGGAAGGAGAAGAAUGUGAGAAUGGAGGAAGGGGUCAUGGUAACAGGAAAGGAGGGUCACCAGACCCUUUGCAGCCACGUGGGCACUCAGCAGUCCUCACAGUACCCUGGGGUCCUAGGCACCUCCCAGUGCCUGCUCACCUGGCAUGGGGUCUCUGGAGCACAGAAUGUGGGACCAUCUGAGACCCACUAGAACCCGAGUCAGGAACGACGAGGUGUGGGUGAGACAGCUAUUAUGGGUGAGGCCCCUUUGCAGCCUCUUGGUGUCCUGAGCCCUCUGGCCCUCCUCUCCAGGCCCUGCUGGCCCCAACUGG